RNAcentral lists this ribosomal RNA (253 nucleotides) under uncultured bacterium. RNAcentral's name for it is "partial 16S ribosomal RNA". It matches the Rfam family "Bacterial small subunit ribosomal RNA", at positions 524 to 776 of the family's 1533-position model. The record is from RNAcentral.
UACGGAGGGUGCAAGCGUUAUCCGGAAUCACUGGGUUUAAAGGGUGCGUAGGCGGCGCAUUAAGUCAGAGGUGAAAGCCCGUGGCUCAACCAUGGAAAUGCCUUUGAUACUGAUGUGCUUGAAUCAGGUUGAGGACAGCGGAAUGUGGCAUGUAGCGGUGAAAUGCAUAGAUAUGCCAUAGAACACCAAUUGCGUAGGCAGCUGUCUGGGCCUGUAUUGACGCUGAGGCACGAAAGCGUGGGGAGCGAACAGG